UUCUGGCAGUGUAGUAAUAAAGACCAGCUUUAUUUUGUCAUUAUCAGAAUACGAGGCAGCCUAAUGGUUAGAGUGUAGAGGUGGCAGGGUAGCCUAGUGGUUAGAGUGUAGAGGUGGCAGGGUAGCCUAGUGGUUAGAGUGUAGAGGUGGCAGGGUAGCCUAGUGGUUAGAGUGUAGAGGUGGCAGGGUAGCCUAGUGGUUAGAGUGUAGAGGCGGCAGGGUAGCCUAGUGGUUAGAGUGUAGAGGUGGCAGGGUAGCCUAGUGGUUAGAGCGUUGGACUAGUAACCGGAAGGUUGCAAGUUCAAACCCCCGAGCUGACAAGGUACACAUCUGUCAUUCUGCCCCUGAACAGGCAGUUAACCCACUGUUCCUAGGCCGUCAUUGAAAAUAAGAAUUUGUUCUUAAAACUGACUUGCCUAGUUAAAUAAAGGUUAAAUAAAAAAAAUACUUACAUUUUUUUUUUUUACAUCUUCUGUUUUCAUUAAGAAGUGAUUCUGGUAUUUCAACACUUCACGUUAUAUUCACAGUGUUGACUAAUUUAAUCUAUUUGCGAAUCACACAACUCUCACACUAACUAGUCUGUCUGCACACAGAAAACAACUAGCCAGAGUUACUGUACCAAUGAAGGACAACCAUGGAGGGAUCUAGCAGAAUGGGGAACGCCACCAAAAGCUACCAUUCUUUUCUCUCACUUAAACCAACGGUAGUUUGAAACAGAGACAUCACCCCUUUCAUUGUUUUAUCAUUUGUUAUGGGUGUAAUUGAAGGGCAUUUGAAAAUGUUGCCAUGGUUUUUGUCCUAAACACAGUCCUGGUUUGACACAUGCAUGACUGAGAAAUCACAGUAAAUGGUUUGAAUACUGUAGACUACCUGGUGAUGGUCAUCAACCAGAGGUUUGAAUACUGUAGACUACCUGGUGAUGGUCAUCAACCAGAGGUUUGAAUACUGUAGACUACCUGGUGAUGGUCAUCAACCAGAGGUUUGAAUACUGUAGACUACCUGGUGAUGGUCAUCAACCAGAGGUUUGAAUACUGUAGACUACCUGGUGAUGGUCAUCAACCAGAGAUGUGAAUACUGUAGACUACCUGGUGAUGGUCAUCAACCAGAGGUUUGAAUACUGUAGACUACCUGGUGAUGGUCAUCAACCAGAGGUUUGAAUACUGUAGACUACCUGGUGAUGGUCAUCAACCAGAGGUUUGAAUACUGUAGACUACCUGGUGAUGGUCAUCAACCAGAGGUUUGAAUACUGUAGACUACCUGGUGAUGGUCAUCAACCAGAGAUGUGAAUACUGUAGACUACCUGGUGAUGGUCAUCAACCAGAGAUGUGAAUACUGUAGACUACCUGGUGAUGGUCAUCAACCAGAGGUUUGAAUACUGUAGACUACCUGGUGAUGGUCAUCAACCAGAGGUUUGAAUACUGUAGACUGGUGAUGGUCAUCAACCAGAGAUGUGAAUACUGUAGACUACCUGGUGAUGGUCAUCAACCAGAGGUUUGAAUACUGUAGACUACCUGGUGAUGGUCAUCAACCAGAGGUUUGAAUACUGUAGACUACCUGGUGAUGGUCAUCAACCAGAGGUUUGAAUACUGUAGACUACCUGGUGAUGGUCAUCAACCAGAGAUGUGAAUACUGUAGACUACCUGGUGAUGGUCAUCAACCAGAGGUUUGAAUACUGUAGACUACCUGGUGAUGGUCAUCAACCAGAGGUUUGAAUACUGUAGACUACCUGGUGAUGGUCAUCAACCAGAGAUGUGAAUACUGUAGACUACCUGGUGAUGGUCAUCAACCAUAGGGUUGGAAUACUGUAGACUACCUGGUGAUGGUCAUCAACCAGAGGUUUGAAUACUGUAGACUACCUGGUGAUGGUCAUCAACCAGAGGUUUGAAUACUGUAGACUGGUGAUGGUCAUCAACCAGAGGUUUGAAUACUGUAGACUACCUGGUGAUGGUCAUCAACCAGAGAUGUGAAUACUGUAGACUACCUGGUGAUGGUCAUCUUGAACCUCAAAAGGAAAUGAAUUGGCUUUGACCAAAAUGUCAGAACACUUAUCAACCACUUUUCAGAGUGUUCUGACUCAAGUUAAGAUCCCAGGAGACUUUUGUAAUAAAAAUAAUAAAUAAAAAUAAAAUGUAUAACAUGUUCAAUGGCUUUGUGUUUAAUAAUCAGAUGUGAAACUUUAAAACUGGAUUGUUAUCAUCUUGGACGUAAUAUCUUGGACGUAAUAUCUUGGACGUAAUAUCUUGGACGUAAUAUCUUGGACGUAAUAUCUUGGACGUAAUAUCUUGGACGUAAUAUCUUGGACGUAAUAUCUUGGACGUAAUAUCUUGGACGUAAUAUCUUGGACGUAAUAUCUUGUGUUUUUACCAUAUCGUCUUGUCCGCUGUGAGAAUUCAAUCAAAUCAAAAAAACACAUUGAAAUUGACUGUCAUGGGUAAUACAACGGUUUUUUUUUGUUCAUUAGGGGUGAAUUAACUUUCACUUUUACGAGCAUUAGAGUACACGAGAGAACCAAAUCUAUACAUUUAUUCUCAUUCACCACACUGAAAGAUCGCCAAGGACUGUUUACCAUCUUGGCAAGCGGUGUCGGAGUGUCACGUCUCGGACCAACUGGCUCAGAGACAGCUUCUACCACCAGGCCACCAGACUGCUGAAAAGUUCAACCUAGUCGUCUCCCUGCACAGAUCUGCACCUAAGAGACUAUAUGCACCAUAGAUAUAAUUUGCACCGACUACCAACACAAUCAACCCUUACACACAAACAAACAGACACGCAAACACACAGUCUUGUUUUACUAACCUUGUGCAGAGACACAAUUGAUUCCCAUUUAAAUCACAUUUUCCCUAACCCUAAACCUUACCCUAACCCUAAACCUUACCCUAACCCCUAAACCUUACCCUAACACCUAAACCUUAUCCUAACCCCUAAACCUUACCCUAACACCUAACCUUACCCUAACCCCUAAACCUUACCCUAACACCUAACCCCUAACCCUAACCCCUAACCCUAAACCUUAUUCUAACCUCAAAACACAACAACCCUAAACCUUACCCUAACCCCUUAACCCUAACCCCAAAACAUAACAACCCUAAACCUUAUUCUAACCCCAAAACAUAACAACCCUAAACCUUAUUCUAACCCCAAAACAUAACAACCCUAAACCUUAUUCUAACCCCAAAACAUAACAACCCUAAACCUUAUUCUAACCCCAAAACAUAACAACCCUAAACCUAACCCCUUAACC
This is a long non-coding RNA of Oncorhynchus keta (chum salmon), 3241 nucleotides long. RefSeq lists it as uncharacterized. NCBI's taxonomy places the organism in Eukaryota, Metazoa, Chordata, Actinopteri, Salmoniformes, Salmonidae. The transcript has 6 exons. The record is from RefSeq and is a predicted model, not a curated record.